Monodelphis domestica (gray short-tailed opossum) is the source of this 2128-nucleotide non-coding RNA. Lineage: Eukaryota; Metazoa; Chordata; Mammalia; Didelphimorphia; Didelphidae. The record is from RefSeq and is a predicted model, not a curated record.
UGAUUAUCUCCUUUUUACAGACUUUAUAAAAUCCCAUUUGGAACUCCUCAUAAAUUUUCUUCACAGAGGUGUUAAAGAUGUAAUCAAUACAUCUGGAAACAAAAUCUUCCCUUUAUGGAAGCCAGAAGGAAGGUCUUGUCAAAGUUGAAAAGGGAUCAUGUAAGAACAGAGAAAAUGAUCUAAGAGAAAUUCUUUCCUGAGAGAACUAUAUUAACUCAUCUUGGGAAGAAACUUCAUUAAGAGAACGGUGGAGAAGUCAGAAAGAAAUAGCAUCAUCGAUGGUUAGGGAUGACUCUAGUGAUGAUCCUUCUCACAGAUGAUCCAUUUUAGAUAAAUCACCAAGAAAAAAGUAAAAAAAAAGUGGAAAAUGGGGCACUGAAUACAAUGAGAAAAAGAUACUUGUUUAUGAUAUGAGUUUAAACAUGAGAGCAGAGUAUGAUCACCUUGUUCGAUCUUAAAUGGUGACAACUUUUUUGAAGCUCAUUCCAUGUCCAUGAUGACUGCAAAAGUGCUAGAUUCUACCAUUAGGCAAGAAGGUCAGUUAUGAAAAGAAAGAAUCCAGGAGACAAGCAAAGAUGGUAGAAUAGGAGAGAGCAGGACUGCCUGGUUUUCUCCAUCACUACCAUGAAGACCUAGAAAAGGCACCAGGUUGAGUCAGGAUCAGGAAAUCCAAGGAAAAAGCACAAUGGGAUUUUUUUUUCCAGACCAAGUCACUAGAGGGAUGUUGACAGAGAUCUGAGAACACUGUGGGGUCCAGUGCACCUAUGGUUGUCAACUUGGAAUAGGGGCAGUGAUGGAUGCCAGAAGUAGGGAGUUCCUAUACUCAAGGCAGUUACAUUCUGAUGGGGAAGACUACACAAAGAAGAAAACUGAGAAAACGUGUCUCUGCUGUUGCAGAGUAAAGUAAGCACAAUAAGAAAAUAAUUUAUAAAAUAACAGGAGCAGUGUAAAUAUGAACAAUUUUGAAAGAAUCAACAACUUGGAUCAGCCCAAUGCCUAACCAUAAUGCCAGAGAAUCAAUUCUGAACGUACGCUUCUCUUUUCAGAGAGGUAAUGUACCCAAGCUGCAUGGGCAAUGCAGGAAUUGUAGAUACCCAGCGACUGAAGAUAAUGUGAGGCAAUUGAGGGGUUUAGGACAACAAGGGGUGAAUUAUGGGAAUUGAGUGAGCCACACUGACUCUAUCUUGUGACUCAGUCCUGGAGUCAAUUAUUCAAUUAUGGACCUCAUCUAAAUUCUGUCUUGUGAGAAAGUGUAUUCAAUUGUGGGACUUAGAAGAAAAUCUUAAUGCUUUGUUUGAACUUGGUCCUGUGUGUUUGGGAAACUUGACUACCUGUACCUACUAUUUAGAGACCUAGUUUAUGUUGACUAGAUACAAUCAGAUUUGAAGAUUUAUAGGAGGAGUUUUCUCAUCAUUGGACAUCUCAAACGACCCAUAUGUCUUAUCUGAAAACUGGCUCCAUGCUGGUCAAUCAGUUAUUGUUUCCAUGCUCCUCUGAUUGUUUACAGAUUCUUGGAGAAGAGUGAGACACCUCCUUUUCUGAAUUCAGGGAAUUGCACCCACCUAUUCUUCUUCAAACUUGGAAUGCCCCUAAUUUCUGGAUUUGUGGCUAAACAAAGUAUUACAUGAAUAUAAUGGGAUGUGAUUUUAAAAAUAUGGAUUAUGGGGGGCAGCUGGAUUGCUCAGUGGAUUGAGAGUCAGGCCUAGAGAUGGGAGGUCCUAGGUUCAAAUCUUACCUCAGACACCUCCCAGCUGUGUGACCCUGGGCAAGUCACUUGAUCCCCAUUGCCUAGCCCUUACCGCUCUUCUACUUUGGAGCCAAUACACAGUAUUGACUCCAAGAUGUAAGGUAAGGGUUUUAAAAAAGUAUGGAUUAUGAUAAAUACAAAGAAGGAUGGAGUGAAAGUGAAAUAAGCAUUGCCAAGAAAGCAACAGGCAAAAUGAAUAAAACAAUGUAAAUGAGAAGAAUAACUACAUGACAAUCAAAAAAGAACAUUGCAAAAUUAUAAAGAAUAAGCUUAGUCCCAAAGAAGAGCUAUAAGAAUACACCUGUCCUAACUCCUGUGCAGUUUAUGGAUUCACUGUGGAACAUUGUACAGAUUGCCAAUUAAAAAAAAAAGACACACACA